Molecule: ribosomal RNA, 253 nt
Filed under: uncultured bacterium
Lineage: Bacteria
Description: partial 16S ribosomal RNA
Rfam family: Bacterial small subunit ribosomal RNA
Source: RNAcentral
UACGUAGGGGGCUAGCGUUGUCCGGAAUCAUUGGGCGUAAAGAGCGUGUAGGCGGCCCGGUAAGUCCGCUGUAAAAGUCAAAGGCUCAACCUUUGAAUGUCAGUGGAUACUGCCGGGCUAGAGUCCGGAAGAGGCGAGUGGAACUCCUGGUGUAGCGGUGGAAUGCGCAGAUAUCAGGAAGAACACCAACGGCGAAGGCAGCUCGCUGGGACGGUACUGACGCUGAGACGCGAAAGCCAGGGGAGCAAACGGG